Long non-coding RNA from Oncorhynchus keta (chum salmon), 3835 nucleotides. RefSeq lists it as uncharacterized. The transcript has 3 exons. Lineage: Eukaryota; Metazoa; Chordata; Actinopteri; Salmoniformes; Salmonidae. The record is from RefSeq and is a predicted model, not a curated record.
GAACACAUUGUGUACAUGUUGGAAAACACCAUGUUCAAUAGUAUUUCAGUGUUCAAAACAGUUAAGAAUCAGUUUCAAUGGAGGUGCAUUAAAAUUACACUAGUUGGUGCUGUGGAUCACAUACUGGAAAAAUCUACUUUACCACAUAUUAUCCAUUAUAUUUACCAGAUACUCUUAACAGCCGCUUUAACAAUGAAAAGAAAUGUCUUGGAAGGCAGUCGGGAGGAGGCUCAGAUCAGGAAAAACCAUGCUGUGUGUGUGAACAACAGGCACAACGGGUUUCACUAGUUACCACAGCUACAAAGUCAAAAUGCACAUUGAUAAAUAUUUGCUUUUUGGUCUUAAUUUAAGGUUAGGGUUGAGGUUAGGGUUGAGGUUAGGCAUAAGGUUAGGGUUGAGGUUAGGCAUAAGGUUAGGGUUGAGGUUAGGCAUAAGGUUAGGGUUGAGGUUAGGGUUGAGGUUAGGCAUAAGGUUAGGGUUGAGGUUAGGGUUGAGGUUAGGCAUAAGGUUAGGGUUGAGGUUAGGCAUAAGGUUAGGGUUGAGGUUAGGGUUGAGGUUAGGCAUAAGGUUAGGGUUGAGGUUAGGGUUGAGGUUAGGCAUAAGGUUAGGGUUGAGGUUAGGGUUGAGGUUAGGCAUAAGGUUAGGGUUGAGGUUAGGCAUAAGGUUAGGGUUGAGGUUAGGGUUGAGGUUAGGCAUAAGGUUAGGGUUGAGGUUAGGGUUGAGGUUAGGCAUAAGGUUAGGGUUGAGGUUAGGCAUAAGGUUAGGGUUGAGGUUAGGGUUGAGGUUAGGCAUAAGGUUAGGGUUGAGGUUAGGGUUGAGGUUAGGGUUGAGGUUAGGCAUAAGGUUAGGGUUGAGGUUAGGCAUAAGGUUAGGGUUGAGGUUAGGCAUAAGGUUAGGUAAGGGGAAAAUAAGCUGUUACCCACAAGGAGUACAGAGUGGACAGGCACAUAGACAAUUAGCUUACUCAUUUUAUGACCCUCUAGUUCAAACCAAGAUACCAUUUUUACCAAUAGGUGAGGUGGUCCCAGAAAGGGCAGUCCCCUGUAACUGGGAUUCUCCUUAUUAACACAUUCAUAGUAUCCUUUAUAUAGAUGGGAUGCUUCUUAUUGACACAUUCAUAGUAUCCUUUACAUAGAUGGGAUGCUCCUUAUUGACACAUUCAUAGUAUCCUUUACAUAGAUGGGAUGCUUCUUAUUGACACAUUCAUAGUAUCCUUUAUAUAGAGGGGAUGCUCCUUAUUGACACAUUCAUAGUAUCCUUUACAUAGAUGGGAUGCUUCUUAUUGACACAUUCAUAGUAUCCUUUACAUAGAUGGGAUGCUUCUUAUUGACACAUUCAUAGUAUCCUUUAUAUAGAUGGGAUGCUCCUUAUUGACACAUUCAUAGUAUCCUUUGCAUAGACGAGAUGCUCCUUAUUGACACAUUCACAGUAUCCUUUAUAUAGAUGGGAUGCUCCUUAUUGACACAUUCAUAGUAUCCUUUACAUAGAUGGGAUGCUUCUUAUUGACACAUUCAUAGUAUCCUUUGCAUAGACGAGAUGUUCCUUAUUGACACAUUCAUAGUAUCCUUUACAUAACUGGGAUGCUUCUGAGAUAAGGGGUUGAGAAAGGAGUCAAUAUACUCUGCCACAUUACAUGUCUUUUAAACAAUGGGACAGUCAGGGGGUAUCUGGAAGGGAACCGUCCAUAAACCUGGGUCCUUAUGUCUUUUAAACAAUGGGACAGUCAGGGGGUAUCUGGAAGGGAACCGUCCAUAAACCUGGGUCCUUAUGUCUUUUAAACAAUGGGACAGCCAUAGCAAACCUUCUUGCCACAGCUCGCAUUGAUGUGCCAUCCUGGAUGAGCUGCACUACCUGAGCCACUUGUGUGGGUUGUAGACUCCGUCUCAUGCUACCACUAGAGUGAAAGCACCGCCAGCAUUCAAAAGCGACCAAAACAUCAGCCAGGAGGCAUAGGAAAUGAGAAGUGGUCUGUGGUCAUCACCUGCAAAACCACGCCUUUAUUGGGGGUGUCUUGCUAAUUGCCUAUAAUUUCCACCGGUUGUCUAUUCCAUUUGCACAACAGCAUGUGAAAUUGAUUGUCAAUCAGUGUUGCUUCCUAAGUGGACAGUAUGAUUUCACAGAAGUGUGAUUGACUUGGAGUUACAUUGUGUUGUUUAAGUGUUCCCUUUAUUUUUUGAGCAGUGUAUAUAGUGCUGAACAUUGUUAAAUCCAACCAGUUGAACGUAUGCGUUGGUACUUAAUGAGUAUGAUGUCAGUUCGGUUGUCAUCUGAGACAUUCUCAUCAAUGAUAGGAUGACAUAAACGGUACAAUGGAAAGUCUACACAUUAUAGUUAUCAGAUUCAGAUUCUAGUUAUCAGCCGCUAUAAACGUGGGCUAGGAGAGGAAAGACAGAGUAUCCCGUCUACCACCCAACGACGACACUACAACGUAUUCCGUUCCCGUUCAGAGACACUCUUCAAAGGACAGAGGACUCUGUUGGGCAACACGGCCUUCCAUCUACCACCAACCUAUUGAAGCGCAGUUCAGAGUAAAUAUAUUUUCCUUUCCCAAAUGGGCGGUAAUUUAGAAUGCAUAAGAUUCUGUAUUUACGAUAGAGUAGUUGCCUACGGCCCGAUAGAGACAUCGCUUCUCUCUUUGUUCUUCAUUCUUCCCGCUCUUUCAAUCAAACCCAACCCACUUUCUUUGCGUAGUCAUAUCUGUUCCGUCCGCCAGGGACGUUUUCCUUUAUGACAUAAUUUGUAAUCAUGAUUCAUUCUGUGUAUAUGUAAUUCUGUGUGAUUAGUUAGGUAUUUAGUAAAUAAAUAAUUAAACCCAAUUUUGUAUUGCUGAUUCAACUUGUUAGCCAGGGUUCGUGCAGAUAACCAAGAAUUUACAACUUUCAGAUGAGCCUGAAUUAAGAUGACGAUUAAUAUUGACUGCUAUUGAUGUACAAUAUUACUAAGUCUUUAAGAGUUUUUUUUGAAGAUAGGUCUGUAAUUUUUAUCAUAGGUGCACUUCAACUGUGAGAGACGGAAUCUAAAACAAAAAUCCAGAAAAUCACAUUGUAUGAUUUUUAAGUAAUUCAUUUGGAUAUAAUUUAAAACCACAUGACAAUGAUUUGAAGAUACCAAGUGUAUUAUAAAUUAAAUGAAACUGUUUCACAAAAAUGUGUAUAUGAAAACCAUAACUGGCACGCAGAUCGGUAGAAAUGGUCAGAUAUAUUGUCAUUCCACAUGAGAAAGGUUGCCGACUCCUCGUGUAGACUAUUAGCGUCAACUUCAGGAGAGUAAUGGCAGAAUCGGAGAGGCAGCAGGAGCAGGAGGAGAAUAGUUGGGUUAGGUUAAGGUUUUAUUCUUCUGGGUAUCGCGAACUCUGGCGCCCUCGAGGCAUCAAACAGUAAGCUUAAAGCAUCAGACAAACUCAAUGCACAUCGUUGAUCAUAUUAAAACAAAUUGGUUGUGUCUAUAUAUGGUAAAAUACAUGUUUAAAAAUGUUAAGCAAUCGAUUGGUCGAAAGAAUAGACGACUUUCGGUCAACCAAGAUUUUUUUCCUUCUUCUUUCGGGGACAGCCCUACCAGGAUGUUUUGUGUCCUACUUAUAUCAGUACACUCAUAACAACCUAAUCAUUACGGAACUUCUAUUCGAUCAAAUAAGCCACUCGUAGCAAAUAAGCCAUUCCAAUUUCUGUUUACCAAAUCCAUACAAAAUCUCCUAGAUUGGUGCGCGAAAACACUACCUGCUGGAUAAGACAGAUUUUGGGCUCAGUAAUCCCUCUCGCUUCGCCUCUACCUUUCUGACUUUAUACAUUGUAUUACAUUAGUAUGAAUACUUGGGUGAUAUAUAGGUAAAAUACUA